AUGUGCUCAGACAGAACUUCCCAGUCUAGACAUCAUCAGUGGUUUCCUUCACUUCUCCUCCCUCCUCUUCACUCCCUCACUCCCUUUUUAACCUCCACCACAGGUCGUCUUCAGUCAGUCUGCAGUCUGUCUCUUAACUGCUCACCAUUCAGCUGCCGUCCUCUCCAUCUACAGUCAUGUUCUGCAGGUGGACAGCCCCGUCCGUCUUCAUCGUUCUCUUCCUCAGAGUUCAGAGCAUCGACUCGUCUCUUGCUCCGGACAACUCUCUGGAGACUUUCGAUCUUCCUGAAAUCGACGGUUCUGCUGUGGACUGCUGUAGGAUUUUCCCUCUCCCCACACCCCAAACCACCACGACAGCAACUCCAACAACAACUCCAACUACAACCACAACCACACCCACUACCAGGAAGGUAAUUACAUUAUGAAGGAUGAGCUUCAGCUUCACUUUGUCCUGUAAACAUCCAGAUUGUAGCCUCAUAGAACCUGCAGUUUUAGAAAACAUAAAAACUCCUCCAAAGUCCUGAUUUUAUUUAAAUAAAAUUUAUGUUACUUUCAACCUCAUUGUGAUUAAAUGUUUUUGAAAUGCAUUUCUGUGCCCAAAUGAACUGGCCCUCUUUAACCUCCCUGUGUUAUAUAAAAUUUUUUAUCAGGUGACCACGACCACAAAGCCAGCCACCCGACCACCACCGAAGAUCGACCACGCCAGUAUCAACAUCCUCCUGCAAUACCUCCUGGCCAACAGCAGACGCCACACAGGUGGUUCUCUACCCAGGGUUAUCUCUCAGCCUCGCAGGGUUCAAAGUUCAUCUGAAAGCAAUGAAGCAGCCAGAAGGCGGCAUAGAAUAGUUGGUCGGAGGAAUACAGGUUCGUCAUCUUCAGACUCAAGUGACGAGUCUUAAUGGCAUUUUUAAAUUCUAGUUGUUAAACAAAGCUAAGAAAAUUUGCUUCCUGAAAGGGUUUUUCUUCGAAAACUUUACGAAUCCCAAGACAACCAUGAAAUUUGUCAGCCAAAAAAAUGUUGUAGCUUCCGAUAUCAUUGUAAUAUUGUAUAUGUUGUUAUUGAAUAUUGUGCACUAAAGUAUUAAGAUGUGUGAAUGUUGAUUUACUGCUGCUGCUGUCACUAAUCAAGAUCAACACUUUAAAAAAGCUUCUUUAUUUAUAUUACAUGUAAGACAAUUGCAGUAACACAGUUUGUUGAACCAUUAUUUAAAAUGUAUUCAUAUGUUAAUGACCUGUUUUAAAAAGAUGUAAUAUAAAUAAUAAAAACAAACCUGGAAUUGUUGAUUAACUGUGGUUUAUACAUUUUUUAGACAUUUUCCAUCUCUGUUUUGACUAAAGAUGUUCAUAGAUCAUCAUUUCAUUCUUGUAUUUACAUCAUAAUUGUGUUUAAUACUUGAAUGCAACACAUGUCUUUGAUUUCAGGACUGACGUCAGCAACACUGACAUGUCAAUAUAACCAGUUUGUUUAUAGCACUGUCUUUUGUUCAUUCUGGAUUCAUCUGCUGAUUAUUAGUUUCCAUUAAUCGAACGUUUGGAUUGUAAAAAAGCAGAGAAUCCAAUUUGUAAAGUUAGAACCAUAAAAUGUUUUUGUUAUGUUAGUGUGAUAACAAUAGUACCAAUAGAAGAAAGGAGUCUGAAAUGGGUUUUUUCUUAGGGUGAGUGUGAAUCAGUACUGUUGUACCCGUGCUGCUGUGGUUCUGAUGGACGAACAGACGGAGCCAAAUGGUUUUCUUUCCUUUGAUCCUUGGAAGUUCCUUUGUCAUGUUUACCUGAGAAAACAAUUAUCACUUUAUUUUAGUUUUCCACCAGUUAGAUUAAUAAGUCAGAUAUCAAUAAAUAUUAAGUGCA
RNAcentral lists this long non-coding RNA (1848 nucleotides) under Sparus aurata (gilthead seabream). RNAcentral describes it as "lncRNA (ENSSAUG00010007434.1)". The record is from RNAcentral. Lineage: Eukaryota; Metazoa; Chordata; Actinopteri; Spariformes; Sparidae.